UGAAGUUGUCAAAUGGAACAUCCACGUCAAAGGGACAAAGUAGCUGAAACCGAAAGAUAAUCGAAUUGUUUUCCUCAAACUUAUCACAAUUUUAUUAUAACAAACUCCACAGAAUGGAUUCGCUCAUGGAACCAACGCUAUACACAAUCAAGGGAAUGUGCAUUUUGGACAAUGACGGCAACCGAAUAUUGGCUAAAUAUUACGAUAAAAGCGUAUUCCCUACAGUGAAAGAACAGAAGGCAUACGAGAAAAAUUUAUUCAACAAGACGCAUCGGGCCAAUGCGGAAAUUAUAAUGCUAGAUGGACUCACCUGUGUGUACAAAAGCAAUGUCGAUCUGUUUUUCUACGUGAUGGGCAGCACCCACGAAAAUGAGCUGAUUCUGCUCUCGGUGCUGAAUUGCCUCUUCGAUACGGUGACAAUGAUUCUGAAGAAGAACGUGGAGAAAAGGGCGGUGCUGGAAAACUUAGAUAUUGUAAUGCUUGCCUUCGACGAGAUUUGUGACGGUGGAAUUAUCCUAGACGCAGAUCCAUCAUCGGUGGUGAAAAGAGUCGACUUACGGAACGACGAUAUACCGAUUGGUGAGCAAACCGUUGCACAGGUAACUAACGCUAUCCAUGGACUGUUUUGGUGAUCAGAAUCUGCAAUUCCUACAAAAAAAAAUCAUACUCACAUAUCACAGUAUUUGUUAGAUUGUUAGGAAACUGCAUGACACUGAUAGUGCACACGUUCUUGUUCUACAAUCCGCUAGAGAACAAUUAAAAUGGUCCCUCCUAAAGUAAAUCGUUUAUGAUUGCAAACCGUGCCGGUACUGAACGAUUUCAGUGACAUUUUAGAAACACUGCGUCGUCUAUCGAGCAUAAUCUUACAUUCGGAUAAUAAGUUAUACAUUCUAUAAUAAUAGUUUAGCUGGAAAUAUAGUGUUACAAACACAAAAAUACAUAAUA
This is an RNA transcript of Toxorhynchites rutilus septentrionalis, 945 nucleotides long. It is a transcript of the gene named coatomer subunit zeta-1, with no coding region annotated. NCBI's taxonomy places the organism in Eukaryota, Metazoa, Arthropoda, Insecta, Diptera, Culicidae. The record is from RefSeq and is a predicted model, not a curated record. The transcript has 4 exons.